RNAcentral lists this ribosomal RNA (406 nucleotides) under uncultured bacterium. Its description in RNAcentral is "partial 16S ribosomal RNA". It matches the Rfam family "Bacterial small subunit ribosomal RNA", at positions 29 to 526 of the family's 1533-position model. The record is from RNAcentral.
AUUGAACGCUGGCGGCAGGCCUAACACAUGCAAGUCGAACGAGUGGCGGACGGGUGAGUAAUGUCUGGGAAACUGCCUGAUGGAGGGGGAUAACUACUGGAAACGGUAGCUAAUACCGCAUACCAUCGGAUGUGCCCAGAUGGGAUUAGCUAGUAGGUGGGGUAAAGGCUCACCUAGGCGACGAUCCCUAGCUGGUCUGAGAGGAUGAACAGAGAGAUUGGAACUGAGAAACGGUCGAGACACAUACGGGAGGCAGCAGUGGGGAAUAUUGCACAAUGGGCGCAAGCCGGAUGCAGCCAUGCCGCGUGUAUGAAGAAGGCCGUCGGGUUGUAAAGUACUUUCAGCGGGGAGGCGUUACCCGAAGAAGAAGCACCGACUAACUCCGGGCCAGCAGCCGCGGUACUAC